RNAcentral lists this ribosomal RNA (387 nucleotides) under uncultured bacterium. RNAcentral describes it as "bacterial SSU rRNA". It matches the Rfam family "Bacterial small subunit ribosomal RNA", at positions 29 to 417 of the family's 1533-position model. The record is from RNAcentral.
ACGAACGCUGGCGGCGUGCUUAACACAUGCAAGUCGAGCGGUAAGGCCCUUUCGGGGGUACACGAGCGGCGAACGGGUGAGUAACACGUGGGUGACCUGCCCUCAGCUCUGGGAUAAGCCUGGGAAACUGGGUCUAAUACCGGAUAUGACUCCAUGACGCAUGUUGUGGGGUGGAAAGCCUUGUGCGGCUGGGGAUGGGCCCGCGGCCUAUCAGCUUGUUGGUGGGGUGAUGGCCUACCAAGGCGACGACGGGUAGCCGGCCUGAGAGGGCGACCGGCCACACUGGGACUGAGACACGGCCCAGACUCCUACGGGAGGCAGCAGUGGGGAAUCUUGCGCAAUGGGCGAAAGCCUGACGCAGCGACGCCGCGUGAGGGAUGACGGCCU